This 301-nucleotide ribosomal RNA is filed under the name uncultured bacterium. RNAcentral's name for it is "partial 16S ribosomal RNA". It matches the Rfam family "Bacterial small subunit ribosomal RNA", at positions 509 to 807 of the family's 1533-position model. The record is from RNAcentral.
CAGUCGCCGCGGUAAUUCGUAGGUGGCAAGCGUUGUCCGGAAUUAUUGGGCGUAAAGGGCUCGCAGGCGGUUCCUUGAGUCUGAUGUGAAGGCCCCCGGCUCAACCGGGGAGGGUCAUUGGAAACUGUUUAACUUGAGUGCAGAAGGGGAGAGUGGAAUUCCAUGUGUAGCGGUGAAAUGCGUAGAUAUAUGGAGGAACACCGGUGGCGAAAGCGGCUCUCUGGUCUGUAACUGACGCUGAGGCUCGAAAGCGUGGGGAGCAAACAGGAUUAGAUACCCGAGUAGUCCCUGUCUCUUAUAC